UAAAGUCAAUGCUUGAAUCUUUUUCAAUCAUUGCAUAUGAAGCGAUGUCUAUUGGAACAUCAAUUUGUACCAUCUUAAGAAAACAGGGAAUUAUGGCUUGAACACCAGGGAAAGCAGCUUGACGAUAUGCUUGAAGAAUCAAAACUAUAAUGACCGGACACUCUACAUACACGCGGAAACUUUGAGAAGCCAGUUCCAAAGGUUGAGUAGAAAUAGCUAAAGAAUUGACACGCUGUUGGAUGAUUGAAGUUUCCGUAGACAGAUAACUACCAAAAGCCAGGGUUGUAUUUUCCUCUUCAUUUGAUUUUGGAUUCUCGACAAAUAUUGAGGGAAUUAAAUAAGGAAGGUUUGUAGAAAGCUCAAGUACCAAGUCA
This is a non-coding RNA of Schizosaccharomyces pombe (fission yeast), 374 nucleotides long. NCBI's taxonomy places the organism in Eukaryota, Fungi, Ascomycota, Schizosaccharomycetes, Schizosaccharomycetales, Schizosaccharomycetaceae. The record is from the annotation of a GenBank genome assembly.